CCUACGGGUGGCUGCAGUGGGGAAUAUUGGACAAUGGGGGCAACCCUGAUCCAGCCAUGCCGCGUGUGUGAAGAAGGCCCUCGGGUUGUAAAGCACUUUCAGUGAGGAAGAACGCCUGGUGGUUAAUACCCAUCAGGAAAGACAUCACUCACAGAAGAAGCACCGGCUAACUCCGUGCCAGCAGCCGCGGUAAUACGGAGGGUGCGAGCGUUAAUCGGAAUUACUGGGCGUAAAGCGCGCGUAGGUGGCUUGAUAAGCCGGUUGUGAAAGCCCCGGGCUCAACCUGGGAACGGCAUCCGGAACUGUCAAGCUAGAGUGCAGGAGAGGAAGGUAGAAUUCCCGGUUUAGCGGUGAAAUGCGUAGAGAUCGGGAGGAAUACCAGUGGCGAAGGCGGCCUUCUGGACUGACACUGACACUGAGGUGCGAAAGCGUGGGUAGCAAACAGGAUUAGAUACCCGAGUAGUC
This 465-nucleotide ribosomal RNA is filed under the name Vreelandella stevensii. Its description in RNAcentral is "partial 16S ribosomal RNA". It matches the Rfam family "Bacterial small subunit ribosomal RNA", at positions 338 to 795 of the family's 1533-position model. The record is from RNAcentral. Lineage: Bacteria; Pseudomonadati; Pseudomonadota; Gammaproteobacteria; Oceanospirillales; Halomonadaceae.